GGACUACACGGGUUUCUAAUCCUGUUUGCUCCCCACGCUUUCGCACAUGAACGUCAGUAUUCGACCAGGAAGUCGCUUUCGCCACUGGUGUUCCUUCCGAUAUCUACGCAUUUCACCGCUACACCGGAAAUUCCACUUCCCUCUUCGAUACUCUAGCCAGGCAGUAUCAAAUGCAGUUCCCAGGUUGAGCCCGGGGAUUUCACAUCUGACUUACCAAACCGUCUACGCGCGCUUUACGCCCAGUAAUUCCGAUUAACGCUCGCACCCUCUGUAUUACCGCGGCUGCUGGCAC
RNAcentral lists this ribosomal RNA (292 nucleotides) under uncultured bacterium. Its description in RNAcentral is "partial 16S ribosomal RNA". The record is from RNAcentral.